AACGAACGCUGGCGGCGUGCUUAACACAUGCAAGUCGAACGCGAACGGGACUUCGGUUCCCUAGUAGAGUGGCGCACGGGUGAGUAACGCGGUAGAUAACCCUGUCUUCAUAUCCGGAAUAACACGCCGAAAGGGGUACUAAUACCGGAUGUUCUUGCAUUUCACAGGUAAGGCAAGGAAAGGUGGCCUCUGAUUCAAGCUACUGUAUGAAGAGGGGUCUGCGUACCAUUAGCUAGUAGGUGGGGUAAUGGCCUACCUAGGCGACGAUGGUUAGCGGGUCUGAGAGGAUGAUCCCGCCCAC
RNAcentral lists this ribosomal RNA (301 nucleotides) under Desulfobulbus sp. oral taxon 041. RNAcentral describes it as "bacterial SSU rRNA". It matches the Rfam family "Bacterial small subunit ribosomal RNA", at positions 29 to 311 of the family's 1533-position model. Lineage: Bacteria; Pseudomonadati; Thermodesulfobacteriota; Desulfobulbia; Desulfobulbales; Desulfobulbaceae. The record is from RNAcentral.